GUGAAGAAGCGCAUACGGUGGAUGCCUUGGCAGUCAGAGGCGAUGAAAGACGUGGUAGCCUGCGAAAAGCUUCGGGGAGUCGGCAAACAGACUUUGAUCCGGAGAUCUCUGAAUGGGGGAACCCACCUAGGAUAACCUAGGUAUCUUGUACUGAAUCCAUAGGUGCAAGAGGCGAACCAGGGGAACUGAAACAUCUAAGUACCCUGAGGAAAAGAAAUCAACCGAGAUUCCCUUAGUAGUGGCGAGCGAACGGGGAUUAGCCCUUAAGCUUCAUUGAUUUUAGCGGAACGCUCUGGAAAGUGCGGCCAUAGUGGGUGAUAGCCCCGUACGCGAAAGGAUCUUUGAAGUGAAAUCGAGUAGGACGGAGCACGAGAAACUUUGUCUGAACAUGGGGGGACCAUCCUCCAAGGCUAAAUACUACUGACUGACCGAUAGUGAACCAGUACCGUGAGGGAAAGGCGAAAAGAACCCCGGAGAGGGGAGUGAAAUAGAACCUGAAACCGUAUGCGUACAAGCAGUGGGAGCCUACUUGUUAGGUGACUGCGUACCUUUUGUAUAAUGGGUCAGCGACUUAUAUUCAGUGGCAAGCUUAACCGUAUAGGGUAGGCGUAGCGAAAGCGAGUCUUAAUAGGGCGUUUAGUCGCUGGGUAUAGACCCGAAACCGGGCGAUCUAUCCAUGAGCAGGUUGAAGGUUAGGUAACACUGACUGGAGGACCGAACCCACUCCCGUUGAAAAGGUAGGGGAUGACUUGUGGAUCGGAGUGAAAGGCUAAUCAAGCUCGGAGAUAGCUGGUUCUCCUCGAAAGCUAUUUAGGUAGCGCCUCAUGUAUCACUCUGGGGGGUAGAGCACUGUUUCGGCUAGGGGGUCAUCCCGACUUACCAAACCGAUGCAAACUCCGAAUACCCAGAAGUGCCGAGCAUGGGAGACACACGGCGGGUGCUAACGUCCGUCGUGAAAAGGGAAACAACCCAGACCGCCAGCUAAGGUCCCAAAGUUGUGGUUAAGUGGUAAACGAUGUGGGAAGGCUUAGACAGCUAGGAGGUUGGCUUAGAAGCAGCCAUCCUUUAAAGAAAGCGUAAUAGCUCACUAGUCGAGUCGGCCUGCGCGGAAGAUGUAACGGGGCUCAAACCACACACCGAAGCUGCGGGUGUCACGUAAGUGACGCGGUAGAGGAGCGUUCUGUAAGCCUGUGAAGGUGAGUUGAGAAGCUUGCUGGAGGUAUCAGAAGUGCGAAUGCUGACAUGAGUAACGACAAUGGGUGUGAAAAACACCCACGCCGAAAGACCAAGGGUUCCUGCGCAACGUUAAUCGACGCAGGGUUAGUCGGUUCCUAAGGCGAGGCUGAAAAGCGUAGUCGAUGGGAAACAGGUUAAUAUUCCUGUACUUCUGGUUACUGCGAUGGAGGGACGGAGAAGGCUAGGCCAGCUUGGCGUUGGUUGUCCAAGUUUAAGGUGGUAGGCUGAAAUCUUAGGUAAAUCCGGGGUUUCAAGGCCGAGAGCUGAUGACGAGUCGUCUUUUAGAUGACGAAGUGGUUGAUGCCAUGCUUCCAAGAAAAGCUUCUAAGCUUCAGGUAACUAGGAACCGUACCCCAAACCGACACAGGUGGUCGGGUAGAGAAUACCAAGGCGCUUGAGAGAACUCGGGUGAAGGAACUAGGCAAAAUGGCACCGUAACUUCGGGAGAAGGUGCGCCGGCUAGGGUGAAGGAUUUACUCCGUAAGCUCUGGCUGGUCGAAGAUACCAGGCCGCUGCGACUGUUUAUUAAAAACACAGCACUCUGCAAACACGAAAGUGGACGUAUAGGGUGUGACGCCUGCCCGGUGCCGGAAGGUUAAUUGAUGGGGUUAGCGCAAGCGAAGCUCUUGAUCGAAGCCCCGGUAAACGGCGGCCGUAACUAUAACGGUCCUAAGGUAGCGAAAUUCCUUGUCGGGUAAGUUCCGACCUGCACGAAUGGCGUAACGAUGGCGGCGCUGUCUCCACCCGAGACUCAGUGAAAUUGAAAUCGCUGUGAAGAUGCAGUGUAUCCGCGGCUAGACGGAAAGACCCCGUGAACCUUUACUGUAGCUUUGCACUGGACUUUGAGCCUGCUUGUGUAGGAUAGGUGGGAGGCUUUGAAGCGUGGACGCCAGUUCGCGUGGAGCCAUCCUUGAAAUACCACCCUGGCAUGCUUGAGGUUCUAACUCUGGUCCGU
Molecule: ribosomal RNA, 2191 nt
Filed under: Pseudomonas aeruginosa
Lineage: Bacteria; Pseudomonadati; Pseudomonadota; Gammaproteobacteria; Pseudomonadales; Pseudomonadaceae
Description: bacterial LSU rRNA
Rfam family: Bacterial large subunit ribosomal RNA
Source: RNAcentral